UACGUAGGGUGCAGGCGUUAAUCGGAAUUACUGGGCGUAAAGCGUGCGCAGGCGGUUUUGUAAGUCUGUCGUGAAAUCCCCGGGCUCAACCUGGGAAUUGCGAUGGAGACUGCAAGGCUAGAAUCUGGCAGAGGGGGGUAGAAUUCCACGUGUAGCGGUGAAAUGCGUAGAGAUCGGAAGGAACGUCAAUGGCGAAGGCAGCCACCUGGCAUAAUACUGACGCUGAGGCGCGAAAGCGUGGGGAGCGAACAGG
This 253-nucleotide ribosomal RNA is filed under the name uncultured prokaryote. Its description in RNAcentral is "partial 16S ribosomal RNA". It matches the Rfam family "Bacterial small subunit ribosomal RNA", at positions 524 to 776 of the family's 1533-position model. The record is from RNAcentral.